GACAGCAGCCGCCGCGGUAAUACAGAGGGUGCGAGCGUUAAUCGGAUUUACUGGGCGUAAAGCGUGCGUAGGCGGCUUCUUAAGUCGGAUGUGAAAUCCCUGAGCUUAACUUAGGAAUUGCAUUCGAUACUGGGAAGCUAGAGUAUGGGAGAGGAUGGUAGAAUUCCAGGUGUAGCGGUGAAAUGCGUAGAGAUCUGGAGGAAUACCGAUGGCGAAGGCAGCCAUCUGGCCUAAUACUGACGCUGAGGUACGAAAGCAUGGGGAGCAAACAGGAUUAGAUACCCGGGUAGUCCCUGUCUCUUAUAC
This 306-nucleotide ribosomal RNA is filed under the name uncultured bacterium. Its description in RNAcentral is "partial 16S ribosomal RNA". It matches the Rfam family "Bacterial small subunit ribosomal RNA", at positions 507 to 807 of the family's 1533-position model. The record is from RNAcentral.